GACGAACGCUGGCGGCGUGCCUAACACAUGCAAGUCGAACGAGGUCCAUGGGAGCUUGCUCCCAGAAGACCAAGUGGCGAACGGGUGAGUAACACGUGAGAAACCUACCUUGGAGUGGGGAAUAACCCGAGGAAACUCGAGCUAAUACCGCAUACCUUCCUCAGGUCGCAUGGCCAGAGGAAGAAAGAAUUUCGCCCCAAGAGGGUCUCGCGACCUAUCAGCUAGUUGGUGAGGUAACGGCCCACCAAGGCAACGACGGGUAGCUGGUUUGAGAGAACGAUCAGCCACACUGGAACUGAGACACGGUCCAGACUCCUACGGGAGGCAG
Molecule: ribosomal RNA, 328 nt
Filed under: uncultured Actinomycetes bacterium
Lineage: Bacteria; Bacillati; Actinomycetota; Actinomycetes
Description: bacterial SSU rRNA
Rfam family: Bacterial small subunit ribosomal RNA
Source: RNAcentral